UGAGGAAUAUUGGUCAAUGGGCGAGAGCCUGAACCAGCCAAGUCGCGUGAGGGAAGAAUGGUCUAUGGCCUGUAAACCUCUUUUGUCAAGGAAGAAUAAGGAUGACGAGUCAUUCGAUGCCAGUACUUGACGAAUAAGCAUCGGCUAACUCCGUGCCAGCAGCCGCGGUAAUACGGGGGAUGCGAGCGUUAUCCGGAUUUAUUGGGUUUAAAGGGCGCGUAGGCGGGACGGCAAGUCAGCGGUAAAAGACUGCAGCUAAACUGUAGCACGCCGUUGAAACUGUUGACCUCGAGACGAGACGAGGGAGGCGGAACAAGUGAAGUAGCGGUGAAAUGCAUAGAUAUCACUUGGAACCCCGAUAGCGAAGGCAGCUUCCCAGGCUCGUUCUGACGCUGAUGCGCGAGAGCGUGGGUAGCGAACAGGAUUAGAUACCCUGGUAGUCCACGCCGUAAACGAUGCUCACUGGAUCUUGGCGAUACACGGCCAGGGUUCAAGCGAAAGUAUUAAGUGAGCCACCUGAGGAGUACGUCGGCAACGAUGAAACUCAAAGGAAUUGACGGGGGCCCGCACAAGCGGAGGAACAUGUGGUUUAAUUCGAUGAUACGCGAGGAACCUUACCCGGGUUUAAAUGUAGAUUGCAUGAGGUGGAGACACUUCUUCCCUUCGGGGCUAUUUACAAGGUGCUGCAUGGUUGUCGUCAGCUCGUGCCGUGAGGUGUCGGGUUAAGUCCCAUAACGAGCGCAACCCCUAUCGCCAGUUGCCAUCGGUUCAAGCCGGGCACUCUGUCGAGACUGCCACCGUAAGGUGCGAGGAAGGCGGGGAUGACGUCAAAUCAGCACGGCCCUUACACCCGGGGCGACACACGUGUUACAAUGGCCGGUACAGAGGGCAGCCACGGGGUGACCCGGAGCGAAUCUCUAAAGCCGGUCGUAGUUCGGACUGGAGUCUGCAACCCGACUCCACGAAGUUGGAUUCGCUAGUAAUCGCGCAUCAGCCAUGGCGCGGUGAAUACGUUCCC
RNAcentral lists this ribosomal RNA (1018 nucleotides) under uncultured organism. Its description in RNAcentral is "bacterial SSU rRNA". It matches the Rfam family "Bacterial small subunit ribosomal RNA", at positions 355 to 1375 of the family's 1533-position model. The record is from RNAcentral.